This 584-nucleotide ribosomal RNA is filed under the name uncultured bacterium. RNAcentral describes it as "bacterial SSU rRNA". It matches the Rfam family "Bacterial small subunit ribosomal RNA", at positions 215 to 796 of the family's 1533-position model. The record is from RNAcentral.
CCGGUGGCGGCUGGGCAUGCGGCGCAUUAGCUUGACGGCGGGGUAACGGCCCACCGUGGCGACGAUGCGUAGGGGUUCUGAGAGGAAGGCCCCCCACACUGGAACUGAGACACGGUCCAGACUCCUACGGGAGGCAGCAGUGAGGAAUAUUGGUCAAUGGGCGGAAGCCUGAACCAGCCAAGUCGCGUGAGGGAAUAAGGCCCUACGGGUCGUAAACCUCUUUUGCCGGGGAGCAAGGGCCGGGACGCGUCCCGGCCCGGAGAGUACCCGGAGAAAAAGCAUCGGCUAACUCCGUGCCAGCAGCCGCGGUAAUACGGAGGAUGCGAGCGUUAUCCGGAUUUAUUGGGUUUAAAGGGUGCGUAGGCGGGCUUUUAAGUCAGCGGUAAAAAUUCGGGGCUCAACCCCGUCCGGCCGUUGAAACUGGGGGCCUUGAGUGGGCGAGAAGAAGGCGGAAUGCGUGGUGUAGCGGUGAAAUGCAUAGAUAUCACGCAGAACCCCGAUUGCGAAGGCAGCCUUCCGGCGCCCUACUGACGCUGAGGCACGAAAGUGCGGGGAUCGAACAGGAUUAGAUACCCUGGUAGUCC